UAUUCAAUGAUUACCAUGAUCAUUUAUUCAAUGUCAUUGUGGUCCCAGAUAGCCUUGGGGUCACUCAAUUGGUGUUAACCGUACAUCAUGUGUGGUUUAUAUCAUAUAUGAGUGGUGAGGCGCUGAUGCAACUCACCAAAGCAGCCAUGGAGAUGGAGGCUUAAAGAUUCCAAUGGGGCCAAUCACUAGAGCAUGUUCCAAUAAGCUCAAAGCUCAAUUGCAAAUCUUUAUACAAGAUUUGAUCUCACAAGAACUUCAAGAAAAUAUGCUGAUCAAGUGUGGAGAAGAGCUUAAGGAGAUGCCAAGAUACUUAUGCACAUUGGAGCAUACUUAGGCUGAAUUCACGAGCACAAGCCUCAUUCAAUGGGCUUAGUCUUAUGUAUCUUUAAUUAAUCGUAUGGACCCCUUUUAAUGUGUUUUGGACCUCAAUUGGGCUUUUGUUAAUUUUAAUUGUGAUUGGUCUUAGACCAAGUAGUUUAAUUGGGAUUUUUUAAAAUUGUUUUAUUACUUGUGUAUGGGCCUGAAAGUGGCAGCCCAUAUACUUAGGCCUUAGGGCAACUUAUUUUGUAACUUAUCAUUAGGGUUUGCUGCAAGAGAGGAAUAUAAAUAGCCUCCUUAGGUGAAAAAAAAGGAUUGAAUUUUAAGUUUAUGAAUAUUACGGUUGUUUGACUUUUCUUUUAAGGAGGAUUCAAAUUCACGUUUGUUUUACCUUAAGGAUUGGUUUGACUUAUCAAGUAAGUUAACUUGUAGCAUUAAUUCAAUUCUUAUGUCUUAUUCAAACUCUUUCUUACCAAUUUCUUGCUAUUUUCGGGGUGAAAGGCUUUAUUAGACUGAUUGAAUUUAGGUCUGGGAACAUUUAUUGAUUCGGAGGUGA
This 874-nucleotide long non-coding RNA is filed under the name Jatropha curcas. RNAcentral describes it as "long non-coding RNA (JCUR_LNC000787)". Lineage: Eukaryota; Viridiplantae; Streptophyta; Magnoliopsida; Malpighiales; Euphorbiaceae. The record is from RNAcentral.